UACGUAGGGGGCAAGCGUUGUCCGGAAUUAUUGGGCGUAAAGCGCGCGCAGGCGGUCAUUUAAGUCUGGUGUUUAAUCCUGGGGCUCAACCCCAGUUCGCAUCGGAAACUGGAUGACUUGAGUGUAAGAGAGGAAAGUGGAAUUCCACGUGUAGCGGUGAAAUGCGUAGAGAUGUGGAGGAAUACCGAUGGCGAAGGCAGCCUCCUGGGCCAACACUGACGCUCAUGCACGAAAGCGUGGGGAGCAAACGGG
RNAcentral lists this ribosomal RNA (252 nucleotides) under uncultured bacterium. RNAcentral describes it as "partial 16S ribosomal RNA". It matches the Rfam family "Bacterial small subunit ribosomal RNA", at positions 524 to 776 of the family's 1533-position model. The record is from RNAcentral.